GCAGUAUCCUAACUGUGCUAAGGUAGCAUAAUCAUUAGUCUUUUAAUUGGGGACUGGUAUGAAUGGCUUAACGAGAAAUUGACUUUUUUUGUUAUAUAAGUUGAAUUUAAUUUUUUAGUGAAAAAGCUAAAAUAAUUCAGAAAGACGAGAAGACCCUAUAGAGUUUUAUAUUUACAUUAUUUAUUUUUAUUAGAUUUUUGUCAAAAUAAGUAUAAAAAAAUAUUUUGUUGGGGCGACAUUUAGAUAAAAAAAACUCUUUAUUUUUAGAAUUUUGAUGAAAAUUUUAUUUGAUCCUUUAGAAAAGAUCAAAAGAAAAAAUUACCUUAGGGAUAACAGCGUAAUCUUUUUUGAGAGUUCUAAUCGACAAAAAGGUUUGCGACCUCGAUGUUGGACUAAAAUUUAGACAGGGUGCAGUAGUUCUGUUUUUAGGUCUGUUCGACCUAUA
Molecule: ribosomal RNA, 445 nt
Filed under: Darwiniella sp. 1 MM-2014
Lineage: Eukaryota; Metazoa; Arthropoda; Thecostraca; Balanomorpha; Pyrgomatidae
Description: partial 16S ribosomal RNA
Rfam family: Bacterial large subunit ribosomal RNA
Source: RNAcentral